Molecule: ribosomal RNA, 253 nt
Filed under: uncultured bacterium
Lineage: Bacteria
Description: partial 16S ribosomal RNA
Rfam family: Bacterial small subunit ribosomal RNA
Source: RNAcentral
UACAGAGGGUGCAAACGUUGCUCGGAAUCAUUGGGCGUAAAGCGCACGUAGGCGGCCUAGCAAGUAGGGAGUGAAAGCCCUCGGCUUAACCGAGGAAGUGCUUUCUAAACUACUAGGCUUGAAUACUGGAGAGGGUCGCGGAAUUCCCGGUGUAGAGGUGAAAUUCGUAGAUAUCGGGUGGAACACCAGUGGCGAAGGCGCCUGUCUGGCUGACAACUGACGCUGAGACUCGAAAGCAUGGGGAGCAAACAGG